RNAcentral lists this long non-coding RNA (1519 nucleotides) under Triticum aestivum (bread wheat). Its description in RNAcentral is "long non-coding RNA (TAES_LNC018688)". Lineage: Eukaryota; Viridiplantae; Streptophyta; Magnoliopsida; Poales; Poaceae. The record is from RNAcentral.
UUGUGGGUUGAAUGGGAGCUUGCAUUAUCUAUGUGUACAAUCCUUUACAUUUUCUGCUCUUUAUUUCCAUUUGUGCCAUGCAAAUUAUGUCUUUCAUGUCUGACUUCUUAUCUAUCUAUGCUAAAUAUUGAUAACUCCCUGUUUUUAUGCAUUUGUAAAUUUUAAAUUGGUGGCACUGGCAUCUUUUACCGGUUGCUGCAUGUAGAGAUUAGAGACACUGUAAAGAGAUGUUAGUUUCAUUUAUGAAACCUGCAUGGCCUUCCAUUGAUUGUGUCAAACAGUAUAGAGUUUUUUUUAUAUAGAUUAAACAAUGUGCAACUUACCAGAUCUGAUGAACAAAAGUAUUCCUUUAUUCUGUUUAGGGGAAGAGAACAAAAUGCUUCUAGUUUGUAGCUAUGGCUAAGCACUUUAUAAGUUUGCUGUUGGUCACUACUACUUAUGCACCCCUCUGCUGUGUUCCAAAUUUCCUGUUUUGAUUCAGCUGUCCGUCAGACCUAUAUUUUGUACUUGACCUCUCACUAUACUGUUGAGUUUGUAUGUUGUUGUCAAUCUAAACCUAUAUUUGAGGCAUCUUCAGGUUUUGUUGACCAUGAUGUAGCUUACAUGAUUUUCUUGUCGACUACCCAGCAUCCUGAACUGUGUAUUGAGUGCACAUUGAACUCCGUUCUAUUCUUUUUUGUUACCCAAAUGUUCUGAUCUUGUACUUCGUCACAGGGUUCGAUCUAUUCACCUAUGCGAUCUGGGAUCUUGAUAGCAAUUUAGCUGCCAAUUUGGCAUCCUGCUUGCUAAUACUUGUUACUGUCAUUCAGCCAAUCCAUUAGUGCUGUUCUGGAGUAUCCGAAGGUGCCCGUAACUGUACUGUUUUCCUGGUGAUUGAAAGAACUUUUCAGCUGGUAAAUUUUGGUGGGUCCUCUCCUUUCGUAUAUUCCAGAAUACGUAUACAAGGAUCUCAUUGUAAUUGUUUCUCUUGUUAUACUUGCCGGGUUUCAGAGUCUGGUGGAUGCAUAUUUUCAGGAUCCAGUUUAAGUUUCAUUUUAGAAGUUUAUCAUCAUGAACGUUGCGCUGCUGUAAUUUUUUAUCGUUACCUGUGCUCAAGUGGCAUUCCUACCACAGGGUUGUGCUGCUGUAAUUUCUUGUUAAGUCAAUAUCAUGUUGAGUCAACGUUGCUCAGGGUUGUGCUGCUGUAAUUUCUUGUUAAGUCAAUAUCAUGUUGAGUCAACGUUGCUCAAGGUGUGGGAUGCUACAUGAUACGGUAAAACGUACAGUAAAAUUUAUCAUAGUCAAAGUCAAAGAUGGUUGAUUAUCUUAUCAGUAUUUGGUUUGUCAUCCUCACACUUUCAGGAGAUUGUUUUGUUGAUCCGAAACUAGCCAAGCUAUUUUUUUUUUCUUCCGAGAAUCAGGGAGUAAGCUUUAUUCAAUAUUUUUUUUUGAAGGAAAUGGUUAUUCAAUUAUUGUUUAAUUAACGGGCAACAACAACGAACGACGGCCAACAGCAAGGGCAUGAUCAACUUCGUCGACG